Molecule: ribosomal RNA, 431 nt
Filed under: uncultured Elusimicrobium sp.
Lineage: Bacteria; Pseudomonadati; Elusimicrobiota; Elusimicrobia; Elusimicrobiales; Elusimicrobiaceae
Description: bacterial SSU rRNA
Rfam family: Bacterial small subunit ribosomal RNA
Source: RNAcentral
AACGCGAAGAACCUUACCCGGGCUUGAACUACGGAUGGUAAGUCCCAAGAAACUGGGGCUGACCCGCAAGGGAGUCCGCAGAGGUGCUGCAUGGUUGUCGUCAGCUCGUGUCGUGAGAUGUUGGGUUAAGUCCCGCAACGAGCGCAACCCCUACUCGAUGUUGCUAAUCCCGCAAGGGAUGCACUCUUCGAGAACUGCCUUCGAUAAGAAGGAGGAAGGUGGGGACGACGUCAAAUCCUCAUGGCCCUUAUGUCCGGGGCUACACACGUGUUACAAUGGCCGGUACAAUGGGAAGCAAUACCGUAAGGUGGAGCCAAACCCACAAAGCCGGCCCCAGUUCAGAUUGUGGGCUGCAACUCGCCCACAUGAAGGCGGAAUCGCUAGUAAUCGCUGAUCAGCAGGCAGCGGUGAAUACGUUCCCGGGCCUUGUA